CAACCUCCUCCUUUCAUCCCUGCUUCUGGUUUAAUCCCAUCACAGCUCAGAAAGGAGAGAAGUGGGGAAAGGAGAGGAUUUCUGCUUAAAAGGAAAAAGAAGAGAGUAGUUGUAAAAGCUGGGGAUGGAGGAGGGAACAGAAACAUCCUUCUUUCAAGGAAAAGAUGCUGUGGCUGCUGUUCUGGGUACCAUAUGCCAGGGUUGUGGCAUCUCCCUUGCCUGGUCUUGGGUUAAUCCAGAACCUGGUGGGGAAGAGCCCAUCGAGGAGGCCUUCACCACACACCUGCUGAUGGCAGCAGCUCAGGUUCCAGCUUCUCCUGCUCCUGGGAGCCCACAUCCUCUGUGGUCACCUGCCUGCACCCUCUGUUAUCUCUCAUGCACCUUCUAAUGAUGCCUUCCCUGGCCCUGACUCACCUGCUGAUAUGGAGACCCUCCCUGUCUGGCCACAUCCUCUGUCCCCCCACCAAAAAGGAAGGAGGAUUGGCAGCAAACAGCACUCCAGCACCCAUCAGCCACGGGGGAGCUUGGAAAAUGUGCAUUUUUGUUAGCUAACCGUAGUUUAUAUAUUAUGUACAAUGGAGAAACCAUUAGGGUUGCUCAGACUCUGCUCCUCCAAGAGGAAGGAUUCACACCCCUCCUCUCACCAGUGAGAUGUGAUGCCUCAGAGCACCCAAGUCUCUCAUCCUCUUUUCCCUACUGGGCAUCUCCACACUGUGAAAUGAUAGUCCUUAACCACAUAAACUUGUGGUUUCCACAUGCCAGCAGCUCAGGCUGAGCAAUGACAGGAGCCCAGGACUUACUGCCAAUAAAGUAAGUGAGCUUAUCUUCA
This 829-nucleotide long non-coding RNA is filed under the name Parus major (Great Tit). Its description in RNAcentral is "lncRNA (ENSPMJG00000002925.1)". The record is from RNAcentral. Lineage: Eukaryota; Metazoa; Chordata; Aves; Passeriformes; Paridae.